Molecule: long non-coding RNA, 581 nt
Organism: Phyllostomus discolor (pale spear-nosed bat)
Lineage: Eukaryota; Metazoa; Chordata; Mammalia; Chiroptera; Phyllostomidae
Exons: 5
Source: RefSeq, a predicted model, not a curated record
AAAGGUGAUAAAAUAAUUUAUUAACCAGGAGGACAGUGAUGAUAUUCAUGAGAAUAGUGUCCAUCAGAGGAAUGAAGCCAGAUUGCAUUAAUUAGACUGAUUCAAUGUCAGAAUGGAGUGGACUCAUUUCUCUCUAUUCCUCUACUAAGUACAACUAAACCUUCUGCACAUUAUAUAAAAAAUAAACAUUAGGAAACUGAAAGGUACAGAGAAGAUGACAGACCAGCUAGGGACCUUGGGACCUGAAGAAUGACAUUAUGAAAGUACAGUGAGGACACUCUCAGCGUGCUACCCUCUUAAAGCCACCACCAUCUCUGGCCUGAGCUGUUGUCGUACCACCUACAUAUACCUCAAAAGGAGCCCAAGUGUGGCUAAUCUAGGAGGUCAUCCUGGUCAAGGGAGAUGCAUGAAAAGGAAACAUUACUAAGAAGGGGAAAUAUUCAGCUCACUGGGGCAAAAGCAGAACUGGUGACAAGAACCAACAAGAUAAUACUACCUACCAUAUGUGGACACAGACAGAAAGAAGCAGUUAAUUAAACUUAAGUCACAGAUACCUGUUUAGGGAUGCACUUACAUCUGCC